GUUUGGGGGUUAUAACCCCCCCCCAUUGGGAUGUACUUUGAGCUCUAUACGCUUAACACCAUACCCCUCGGAGACCUUCCAGUAGUUGUAACCCCCCCCCCCUUUCCAGUAGUUGUAACCCCCCUUACGAGUAUGAGAUAAACCAAGGGGCAGUCGCUAUAGUUCUUAAUGUUUUUGACUGGAGUCGUUCUAGGAUCGCUAUGUUGCUGUCAGAUACUGUACCCCAGAGUUGUACGCCGUAUGUCCAAAUAGGCUUUAUGAUGGAACUGUAGACCAGGAGUUUAUUUUUUAAUGAUAGUGGUGAGUUACUUCCAAGUAGCCAGUAGUGUUUUUAAGUACAAUUCCUAGUUGUUUACGUUUAUUUCAGAUAUGUGUUUCCAAUUAGCCUUCUGUCUAGAUGCAAAGCUGCAUUUUUUACUAAAAAUAGACUGGAAAUAUGUAGAUACGUGCAGGGCCGUGCCGUGCUAUGAUGCGACGAGGCAGUCGCAUCAGGCGGCAUCACAAGGGGGCGACAUAAUGUCAGUAAAAUAAAAAAAAUGUCAGAUUGUGUGAAAAUGUCAGAAACUAUAGAAAAACGGAGUUACAGACAAUAUGGCUAAUGACCAAAUUAAAUAAAAAUUUAAUGAAAUUGGAGAAAAUCUUAAUACGUAUCUAUGUUCCGAAUUUCCAGGUGAAAAUGAAAUUCGAGCCAAAAGAAAAAAGCGUUUAUUUGAUUACGAAAAAUUUGUGGACGAGCUCCUUUGUUCAUCUAUAUAAUUUUAUUUUUAUUCAUAUUUUAGACAUUGCCGUUAAUUCUUUGAUUGAUCGAUUUUCGCUUCUAGAAACUCAUAAUAAAGAUUUUAAAUUUUUAUAUGAUAUUUUCAAAUUUACGGAAAUGGAUGAUAAAACACUAGAAAAAUAUUGUAUGAAACUUCAUUCAAUACUUUCAAUAGAAAAAGAAAGGGAAUCUGAUAUAGAGACAAACGAUCUUCUAGAAGAAUUGCGUGAUAUAUCCCAAAUGAUACCUUUAGAGGUUUUGAAAUAUUUCUGCUAAAAUGAUCUAAUUUCUUUAUACUCGACUGUAGUUGUAUCACUAAGAAUUUUAUCCUGUCUCGGUAGUUAGUGAAGAAAGAAGUUUUUCAAAAUUAAAUAUUAUUAAUAACUAUUUACGAAGCUCCAUAAGACAAACAGUACUAAAAAAUUUAGCACUUAUUUGAAUAAAGUUCUCACUAGCUGCUACACCUAUCUAUCCCCACUCGACUACACCAAUUGUAUUUAAUUUAAUUUAAAAAUCAAAUCUGAUUGACGAGUUUGUCAAAAUUAAAGUCAGAACGGUACAUACUUUAUUUAAUUUAAAGUAUGUUUUGUUUUUUUUAUUUAUUUAUUUUUUUUAUUCAUCUAGUUUCAUGUGUAGUGUGUGUGUUGAGUAAGUGUCUUGUUACUAUGCAAAGUCUACGUCAUUGUCCUUGCAAAGAGACGCUAAUUGUAUCCGAACGUCUGCGGUGCCUCCGGUGAGUACCGAUCCCACAAGGACAGAAACUAUCUUCAUUUAAUAAUUUAUAAUAAACGAAAAAUUUCUGACCCUGGUGAGAUUCGAACUCACGACCAUUCGGACCUUUCGAUCCAAAGGUAGGCGCUCUUACCACUGAGCCACAGGGGGUUGUUUUGUUUUAAAAUAAAAGUUUUCGUUCAUUUUGUAUAGUUUCAUUUAAACGGGUAGGCGCAAAUCUUGGUUUAAUGCUAUUUAAAUGCAUUCGUUUUUUUUUUCGAAUCCUGAGAAAACUAAUAAGUAUUUUUGAAAAAUUUAAACGCAGAAUGAAAGAUUACAUUACAUAUUACCGAGGGCCGAAAGUUACAGAGGUGAAAAAAAGAGAAAAUUUAGUCUGAAUAUUUCAUUAAAAAAACUUUUUGUUUUUUUUAAGGGAUUUUCUACUAAGCCCUCGGUAAUAAUGUAAUCUUUCAUUCUGCAUUUAAAUUUUUCAAAAAUAUUAAUUAGUUUUCUCAGGAUUCGAAAAAAAUGAAUGCAUUUAAAAAGCAUUGGAUUCCCUUAGACCCCUUAGGCGCAAAAAAUAAUUUGCGUCUACCCGUUAAUAAAAAUAAUAGUUAAGUCACAGAAUAACUAACCAUAAUAAUAAUAGUUAAGUUUCAAUAAUAUUUAAGGGGCGGUAUUUCGAAGACUUGGAUCAUAUUGAAAGGAUGUACCGCACGGCUCUGGAUACGUGUUGUUUUCUCGAGUGGAAUCACUCGAUAUUAAGAUAAGAUAAGAUAAACAAUUUUUCUAUGUUCGAUUCGAUAAAUUUCAGUCAAAAUAAUUAGUUCGUACAGUUUUGAUAGAGGCAUUAUUGAAGUAAUAGUUAAAAUGUUUUGCCAACAUUGUAAUCAAUGGUUUCCAAAUUAUAUGGAGCUGGGGCCUCACAUAAAAACCGAACAUCACGUCUGUAUAUAUUGUGGUAAAGACUAUAAAUCAAUUGAGAAACUACAUGAACAUAGUAAAUACAAACAUACAUUUCAAUGCGAAUUGUGUGAUAAAUGUUUUUCAUCCAUUAAGGAACUAGAUAUUCACGACAGAUGCGUACAUUCAAUUCAAUGUCCAAGUUGUGAUGAAUUAUUCUUCAGAAAAGAAGAUGAUCUACUUAACCAUAUGAAAAGCCGACAUCCUGAAUUUUGUUGCAAUACUUGUCGUAAAUCAUUUAAUUCCCAAGAGCUCAGAGAUUUUCACAUCCGACAGAAGCAUCAAACGUUCUUCCAAAUUAGGAAGAAGGCUGAGUAGAGGUGCAUAUAUUCAACAUUUGUAUUUUCUUAUUGUACGAUAUUUUACAAAAUAAGGAGUUGGAGGAAGAUAUAGCAGACACAAAUAUGUAAUUUAAAAAUGUCAUAAAGAUGUUAAAAAAGUGUAAAAAGGUAGAUUUUAAAUUUUGACACAGUUCUCUGUUUAGGCCAUUAAGUUACAAGUUUUUUAUACAGUGAUGAGCGCACUAAUAAUCGGCAAAAUAGCGCAAAAGAUGGAAAACAUAAUACAUUGCUAAACAAAAAGAGAUGAAACUAGUGGAGGUGGAAAUGAUCGUUAUAAACUUAUAAAUUAACAUUGCAUUACAUACUUUCCCACCUUUAGACGUUUGUGACAGAAGUAUUUUAUUAAAUUAUACUGUCACAGUGACAGUUGUCAAACUCCUCUCAUACGUCUAAAGGUGGGAAACUAUGUAAUGUAAUGUUAAGUUAUACGUUUAUAACGAUAAUUUCCAUCUCCACUAGUUUCAUCUCUUUUUGUUUCGCAAUGUAUUAUGUUUUCCACCUUUUAUGCUAUUUUGCCGGUUAUAAGCGUGUUCAUCACUAUAUACAUAGUCAUAAAAAUAUUACUUGAGUAUAACGUAGUUUUCAUAUCAUUAUCAUAUUAAAUGGAAAUAAAACACAAUUGUAAUAAAAGAAUUA
Diabrotica virgifera virgifera (western corn rootworm) is the source of this 3408-nucleotide long non-coding RNA. RefSeq lists it as uncharacterized. The record is from RefSeq and is a predicted model, not a curated record. The transcript has 2 exons. Lineage: Eukaryota; Metazoa; Arthropoda; Insecta; Coleoptera; Chrysomelidae.